GAAAAUGUUACAAUGCAAAAAAUAAUAAUAAUAUUAAUAAUAAUUAUUAUAACAGUACUAAAAUAGACUUUUUUUUUUAAAUGAAGAAUAUAAUUUUUUAUUUGUUUUUCUUGUUUUGGAGUGAAACAUGUUCAUGAAAGAUUUCAUUAGAUUUUAAAUGAGCCUUUAACAAAUUUAAAAAGUCAACAAAUGAAAUGCACGACUCUAAUCUUGAAUAUCAACACAGAAUCAAGAUCCACAAGCAUCAGCGGAAGGAUUCAGAAACACAGACUGGCCCCACAUGGACUCUGGAAGCAGUCUGAAUGAAUAGCAGGGGACUGGAACACAUUUUCCCAUCAUCCUGGUUUCUUUCUCUCUCUUCGGUGUCUGUGAUCUGUUCGGAUGUGUUGAAUGAAACAGCUUGCUGUUUGAUUCCCUCUGUUCAGAGCCUAUGCAAAAAACGAAAGCCGUGUAGCUCUAUAUUUCCUCUUUGUGUGUGUGAUUAUGUAUGUGUGUGUUUCUGUGCACAUUUUUGCGUGUUUUAACGCAGUCAGCAGACUUUGGGAGAUCAUCACUGGAUUUAAACCAUUUAAACCUUGAACUCAAGACUGUGGAUGUAGAUGUAGAGAUACAUGUUCAUAUGAGGGUGAAUCGCAUGAAACCGCUAAAGAAAAGGUCAUAUUUCACCUCAGAAUCAAAAGGAAAAAUAAGAUAUAUUUUGCAUAAAGAAAAUGAAGAUUGAGAUUUUUCUUUUCCAUGAUGACAUUGAUUUCUUAACAAUUUAAGAUCAUUCUCCUCCAAAAGAAUUCUGGGAAAAAUGGCACUUAAUUAAAUUUAAAAUCUCAUUUAUUUUCAUUAAUCUAAUGUGAAAACAAAGAUUUAAACAUUAUGUAAAUUGCUAAAUGUUUAUGCAUCAUGGUAGUAUUUGUCAUACAUUCUCUAAUUUGAUGAUUUUAAUUGUAAAGAAUUAGUAUUACAGUAUUUGUAACCAUAAUACUGUAAAAAAAAAAAAAAGUUGAUAUACCAAACAAACUCAAAACUCAAACAUCAAAAUUCAGUAUAGUUACGGUAUUUUUGUGUAUAUAUAUGGGGUGAAAUAUGAUCCACACAUGAUUUCAUGAGAAACUGCAUACUGCCACAUUUACAAAAAAACAUGCUGUUUUAAAUAUGAAUAUUUAUUCAUGCUGUAUGUUAGUAGAGGACGUGUACUGUGCAAAUGCUCAGUGCCGUGGAGCAGAAUGAAGUAUACGGCGGUCAGAAUCAGAGUAUGGUCAGCUUUGUUGUUGUUUUGCCUGGUUUGCCCCUCCGUCUGAAAUCUGACGCAGGAGCCUUUCGCUCUUAAACAGCAGAAGCACAGCGGCUCUGUGCCAAAACAUGAGAAUCACUGCCUCAAACACACCUAGAUCCGUUCAUUAAUACACCACAUGUGAGAAUGAGGAAUAAAAGGGUCUCUGUUAAUGAGCUGCUCAUUGGACCCACAUUUUAUUCUUUCUACAUCAGUGUCUACAAACCUGUGUUUGCUUCUCUUGUGCCAAAAUAGCCAAGAAUGAUUUAAUCACUGCCAAGACUGCUUUACUAAUCAUGUCUUGAUUUCCUUUUUUGUGCAUCAGGUUAUGAAGUAUUGACUAUUAACUAAUAAAUCUGCCAAGUCCCUGUGAGGGAGAAUCUCACCAAACCUGUCCAGAAAAGUAGAAUUAAUUUCACCUCAAAUACAAAAUGAACAUUAGGAAGUUUUUUUUUUUUUGUGUGCAUUUUUUGCAUUUUUUUUUUCACGUACACUGCACCUCGAAUUAUGAUAAUUAUACAUUUUAUAUAAAUCCUACAUUUUAUAAAUAUCAUGCAUAUGCAUAAAGAUUGAUCCAUCUAUCCAUCUAUCUAUCUGAUAGAUCAGUCUAUCUUUAUUUACAUGCAAACACACAUAUGAAGGCUUAUUUUUUAACAUGCAUAUGAAUAAUAAAUUAUAUAUACAUUACAUAUACAAAAGACAUUGAAGAACCGAACAAAUAUAUAUAUAUAUAUAUAUAUAUAUAUAUAUAUAUAAUUUUUUUAAUAAUUUAUUUAAUUUAAAACAUUCAAAAGCAUGUCAUACAUAUAUAUAUAUAUAUAUAUAUAUAUAUAUAUAUAUAUAUAUAUAUAUAUAUAUAUAUAUAUAUAUAUAUAGUAAAACUCGUAUAUGAUUUAUAUUGAUAUGAUUGGGACAGGUCUUUGUGAGAUUUCACCCAUGAAGCAAGAUGAAAUCUGGGAAUUGUUGGAAAAUAUUGACCCCAAUUGUAACAUCUUUAAAGUUAAUUUAUCAUGAGUGUACAGUAUGUGAAAUUGCAAUUCCUGAAGUUAAUUGUGUUUUUGUAAACUGCCAAUUUUUUAUCUGCACUGCCACGUGACCAGCCGCUCGCCAUCCCACGAUGCACUGCUUAUUCAUUCUCAGUUUCCAUAGAUGGAUAUUCCUGUGAAACUAAACUCAGAGGUGGAAACGUUUCUGUGAGAGCUCAUUGCCAACUGUGAAGAGUAGAAAGACGAAGCCUGUGUGCAGAUGUUUGUGAAUGAACCUGAGACUACAUGAGCGACGUCUGUCUAGUGUUUGUCUCGUACUCUCCUCGUGUCGUCUUCUGCAUACUCUGGAGCAUGUGGAGACUGCAGUGAAUGAUGUAAAUAAAUCUGAUUUCUGUUCUGAUGACUUUCUGCCAAGCCGAUCUGCCACCUCAGUAUGAGUUUGUCCCUGUCUGCCGUCUGCUAGACAGACAAACCCCUCGUUUUUGUACGCUAACCUCUGUUAAUAAAAUGUUUAUAAAAUUUAUUUUCGCCAAAGAUAUGCAAUUGCAUUAUAUAUGGUAUUAUUGAAUAAAAGAUGUUGGUUUACUUAA
Cyprinus carpio carpio is the source of this 2840-nucleotide long non-coding RNA. Lineage: Eukaryota; Metazoa; Chordata; Actinopteri; Cypriniformes; Cyprinidae. The record is from Ensembl.